This is a long non-coding RNA of Epinephelus moara (kelp grouper), 265 nucleotides long. RefSeq lists it as uncharacterized. The transcript has 3 exons. NCBI's taxonomy places the organism in Eukaryota, Metazoa, Chordata, Actinopteri, Perciformes, Serranidae. The record is from RefSeq and is a predicted model, not a curated record.
GAGGGCAGGACAGCUUCUGUACAAUAUGUUUUGGAUUCUUCAAUAAGUGAUGUCGGCAGGUUGACAUAGUUCCAGUCAUGACUUUAAGUACGAGUAUCUUUCCACUUGUGUUCCCAGCCUUGGUGGUGUGCCUAGCUGUUACACUUGUCUGCUUGUAUCAGUACGCAAGAAAGAAGAGAGCAGCAUAUGACUUUGCCAUCGCAAGACUGCAAGAUGAAAACACAUCUAUAGCAGUCUUUACAAUUUCUUUGUCUGAAGAUCAGGC